RNAcentral lists this ribosomal RNA (592 nucleotides) under Macrophthalmus banzai. RNAcentral's name for it is "partial 16S ribosomal RNA". The record is from RNAcentral. Lineage: Eukaryota; Metazoa; Arthropoda; Malacostraca; Decapoda; Macrophthalmidae.
GGAGAGAAUAAGAAAAAUAAUUUUCGUAAUUUUAGUAAUUUUUAAUGAAAAUAAAGUAAAGACUAAAGAGAAAAGUACUGUGAAGGAAAGUCGUUAAAACUUUUUAUAGAAGAAGUAAAAUUUUGUGCCUCGUGUAUCAGAAAAAGUUUAUAUAGUUUAAUUACAAUAAGUAUCUCGAAAUAAAAUACAGUAAUUUUUAUAAAAUUUUCUUUUUAGAAAAAAAGAAUUUAAUAUAAAAUUUAAAGUGAAAUGCUAGCUGAGUUUUAUGAUAUCUAGUUUUUUUAAAAAUAAAUUUAAUUUAAUUUUUAUAAAGAAAAAGUUAUAAAAUUAAAUGGUAGGGGGGAUUAGCUCUUUACGGAAAAGAUAAUGAAAUAGUUAAAUAAAAGUAAAUUAUAUAAAUUAGGCUUAGAAGUAGCUAUAUUGAAAAAGUGUUUUAACUAAAUUAUAAUUGCUUGAAUAUUUAAAAUAAAACUUUUCUUAGGUAUAAAAAAAUGGCUUAAACAAAACAAAACAAGAUAUGAUGAUUUUAUUAGUAAAAUUUAUUGAGUAAAUAAAGAUAUUAAAAGGUAAAAAUUGUUUAAAAAAAUAAGUA